Molecule: long non-coding RNA, 1133 nt
Filed under: Sus scrofa (pig)
Lineage: Eukaryota; Metazoa; Chordata; Mammalia; Artiodactyla; Suidae
Description: lncRNA (ENSSSCG00065055889.1)
Source: RNAcentral
AAUCCCCAUUUAGGCCAUGAAAAGAACUGAGACCCGGAGAAGUUAAGCGACGUAUUUAAGGUCACACCGUUAUUGAGAGGUGGUCCCAGCACAUGGUACCAGCACUGGGGCCACCCAAGACCCCCCGAGACCACCCUGGGCAGCUGGGAUUUCAAACAGGCUGUCCCACUGUCAAAUGUUUGAUUGGAAAUCAAAGAGCGCUCAGGAGAACUCUGGGGCAGGGGGGGUAAGGGGCAGCCACAAAUGGCACCCAGGGGCCAACUUGGACCCCUUCUCUUGCCAGCAAUGCGACAAGAUGCUAACGCUCCUCCAGCCUCAGGACCUCAGGACACGUAAAUCAGUCCUGUGCCCCUGGGGUGGGGGCUGGAGGUCACCUUUUAAAAUUACUCAAAUCGAAGCCAAAUUCAUACUCCUCUGUCCAGUGGGGCCGCCUCACUCCCACGUAUGCCUGACGCAGUAACAACGCAGGCCGAGAACACAGAAAGUUCUAGAAAUGACCACAGGCACAGUGCGUGCCCUGACUCAUGUCAGCCCGACGCCCGUCUGGGUGGAGCCCUACCUGGUGCGGGCAGAGCCCCGUGGCCAGGGGCCAUCCGGAGUGCUGUGGGAGAAUAAAUGAGACGGUGAGACACGGGAGCGGGCCGGGGCUGGACUGAUCGGCCAAACUUUAUCAACAAACAUUUGCCGACUGCCUCCUCUAUGCCUGGCCCUGCCCGAGGCGACUUCAUCUCAUUCAAUACUCACAACCCCCUGGGAGACUGCUCUUCUCGUCCCUGUCCCCCCAGGAGGGACAGGGAGAGCUCAAAGGAGGGGGGGUGCCCCUGGCAGUUCCGUGGCAUGACGUCGGGGCUCAUGCUCAUUCCAGAAGCCCACCCAGGGCCUUGGAAUUGCCAGUGAGAUGCUGGUUGUGCCCUUGGCCCAGGUCGGCCUCCCGAGACGUUCCCAAAGGGACCCUUCCGUUCAGGACGUCAUUCGGGCGACAACAAGUGGAGCGAGAAAGACUGACACCUCCCUGGGGAUGGCAACCCUCCAGGGCGCUGGCAGGUUCUCGCGUGGGCGCCCCGGCUCUCCCGAGGAGCUGCAGCCAAGGCCAGCGGGCCAAGGCGCGCUCCAUCCCAGCUCUCCGCCGUCUG